CCCUACCUUGGGGGACGGCGCGCGAUAGCGCGUCGGCCAACAACUAGUCUAAAUAAAAGUGGUAUCCCUUUAUUAUUCAAAUUUUGUGAACUCUGUAUAAUUGUAUAAAUGAUCUGACAAAAAAAAAACAAAAAAAAAUGAAUUCUUAAACUUGGUAUCAUCAAGUUCAUCGACAAGGGUUUGUUUUUCUUCAUCUUUCUCUCACUCGCCUCCUCCUCAAUUCCUCAUGUGUUUCUCUUCUCUCGCCUCAAUGUCCCGUGCAAUUCUGCAACUACAGCACCGCUAACAGGAAUUUCACUUGAAAAAUUCCUCGUUGAAAUGAAUUUCACAACUUGCCGCUUUCCCCUUUCUUCGCCCUCUCGCUGAAAUGAGUUAGGGUUCUUCUUUGAUUUCGCUUGAAGAAACCGACGAACAAAUUUUGCUCGUUAACGGAAUCUUACAAGUUGUUAGUAAAGAAAUAGUAGGUGUUGGAUAGUCCUUUAUGAAUCUUGAGGUAUGCACUCUUUCAAUUUGUGUAUUGUUUCUACAUAACUGUGAUCCAAGGAGUAUUAGAGUUGGGGUUGGUUGCCUCACUUGACAUUUGCUAUGACGGAAUGCAACAGGUUCUGUAAGUUUAGGCUCAGAACUUGGUUCUGUGUUAGGCUUCGAAUCUCCUACCCAUCAGGAAGGGCAACAUGCAUCGAAGUAGGGAAGUAUCAGUUUUAGUUUAGGGAUUCUGGAUAUUCCCCUAGUAGCUACUCAUAAUACUUUGCUUUGCAACUGACUUUUCUCAAUUCAGCUAUAGACAAGUCCUUAUUACCAUGGUUUCUUCAUUAAAGUUGUUGAUAUUUAAGAAUAGUUGAGUUUAGGAUCAAAAAAAUCUUAGUUUGGUUUUCUGAGCUAUAAUGUAGGGCCUUUAGAAUUUUGGGCAUGUUGCAGUAGGCGUACUGAAGAAGGAGCGACCAUCUAUCAUGGUGUUUUCUUUUCUUGUACGCUCUUUUCUCUGGUAUUCUUGGCAUGGGUGAUUGAUGUCUUGAUAGUUUUCCUGAUGUCCAAGCUUAUAGAGAUUCUUUAGUUCUUAUUGGAGGUUGUAUAAGGUAGAAAUUCAAGGUAUUAAACUAGUUUCCACUCUUGUUUUAAUUUAAGUUGUUCUAAUUAAUAUUUUUAUGUGAGAUUACUGAAUGUCGCUUUUGUGUUUAGAAGAAAAAUAUUUAUCAUGUUAUAGGAGUAACAACAUUAGAAACUUUGAGCUAAUUGUUGGGGAAUGUUUUCGUAGCGAAUAUAUUCGCUACUAAAGGCCAAAAUGAUUACCACGAAAACCCUUUUUUCUUGUAGUGGAGUAGGUCCAUCAUCUUGCAGUGGUCGCCGUAUCGCAAUGAGGUGGAUCUUAUGAAGCAGGUGAGCUUGUACAAACCGUAAUGAUUGUUUUCUCUAGUUUACCGGCAGUUUUAUGAUCAUGUUAUACAUUGUUCCCAUUUCCCAUUUGUAAUAAACAAGAAUAUAUAUAUAUAUAUAUAUAUAUAUGUAUAUAUAUAUUAUAGUGAUGUCAGUGGUAGUAGUAUGAAAGCUAGCUGGCAGACCUGUAGCUAGAGCCUACUACAAAAUAUUAGAGAUGUUCUCUGCCUACACUUACUUUAAGUUUGUGUUUUCCCGGCAUCUGAUAUCAAUCAGUUUUUGUAGGCGAAUACUCUUGGUCUCUAGACUAUAGAAUAUGUUCUUUCUCCAUAGAUAGAUACUCAGUGGUGGUUUAGUGAGGUAAUAUAUUGUGAUGCUAAGAUUUGCUUUCCCUUGUUUGUUAUUUCUUAAUUUGAUUCACUAUUAUAGUCUAUAGAAUUGCUGCUUUUGUAGGUUCGUUUCCUUCACGAUUAUGAUUCUGUGUGUGUAAUAUAGAAUGUUCCUGAUGGUGUUUUAUGACACGAGAUCACUUGAUUAUCCCUCACGGCAAUGCAGUUUUUGUAGUACUACUAUGAAUCACAGUUUCCCUUGUUUGUUAUUUCUUAAUUUGAUUCACUGUUAUAUUCUGUAGAUUUGCUGCUUUUGUAGGUUCGUUUCCUUCACGAUUAUGAUUCCGUGUGUGUGUAAUAUAGAAUGUUCCUGAUGUCAUAUAACACGAGAUCACCUUAUUAUCCACUCAAAGCAAUGCAGUUUUCGUAGUACUACUAUGAAACCAAAGGGGUGAAUAGUUUUAUUUGGAAAUUUUCCUAUGCAGAUUAAAGGAGAAGUAGAAGCCUUAGAACGAACCAAAGGCGAUGAGAUAGAGUUGAGUAUAUUCCUUUCCUCCUUCAUUGGUUAUAUCUGAUGGAUUUACUGGUUUAUCUAUGUUUUAACGUCAUACAGGCAGACAUAGGGGGCAACGUUAUGGUGCAAGCACACACCCGAAUGUCACAUCCUCUGGAGGAGAGAGACGAUGAGAGCAGAGAAUUAGUGAAAUUUAGUGGCUUAUUUAAUUGAGGAUAAGAAUAUAUUGAGUAUCAUUCAAAAUUAGAUAGUCAUAUACUUCUGUAUUUUUGAGAUGGAUAUAUAAUUUUUAAUUGUAUUUACUUGUUACUCGUUAGUUUUGUAGAUUAAGAACUUUAGAUGAAAUGAAAUAAAGUUUUAGUGGAAUUGAUUUUUAUUGUA
Long non-coding RNA from Spinacia oleracea (spinach), 2598 nucleotides. RefSeq lists it as uncharacterized. The transcript is spliced from 2 exons. The record is from RefSeq and is a predicted model, not a curated record. Lineage: Eukaryota; Viridiplantae; Streptophyta; Magnoliopsida; Caryophyllales; Amaranthaceae.